Non-coding RNA from Gossypium arboreum, 74 nucleotides. NCBI's taxonomy places the organism in Eukaryota, Viridiplantae, Streptophyta, Magnoliopsida, Malvales, Malvaceae. The record is from Rfam.
GGGGAUGUAGCUCAAAGGGGUAGAGAGCUCGUUUUGCAUGUGAGAGGCAUUGGCUUCAAUCCCCUGCAUUUUCA